UACGGGGGGGGCAAGCGUUGUUCGGAAUUACUGGGCGUAAAGGGCUCGUAGGCGGCCAACUAAGUCGGACGUGAAAUCCCUCGGCUUAACCGGGGAACUGCGUCCGAUACUGGAUGGCUUGAGUUUGGGAGAGGGAUGCGGAAUUCCAGGUGUAGCGGUGAAAUGCGUAGAUAUCAAGUGGAACACCAGUGGCGAAGGCGAGUCUCUGGACAUUUCCUGACGCUGAGGCACGAAAGCCAGGGGAGCAAACGGG
Molecule: ribosomal RNA, 253 nt
Filed under: uncultured bacterium
Lineage: Bacteria
Description: partial 16S ribosomal RNA
Rfam family: Bacterial small subunit ribosomal RNA
Source: RNAcentral